UGAUGUUAUUGGUCACAUGACAUGCAGCUAAACAAAUGAAUUGUUUAAUCUUUUUUCGUUCUUCUGCGUGGCGGUUGUGGGUGUGUGUGCGGCCUGCAUGAGUGUGAUUGAACACAACCUGCAGCGAGGGAAGACUGAAAGCCGCCCGGCGCUCUGCAUGUCUGCAGGAGAAAGCUUUUACAUCGAGAUCGUGGGCCUGCUCUUCUCCUUAAUAGCGUGCACUUUGGCCCUCAAGGGUCGUCCUGAACCCAUCAGGCCCUGUGACUACCUGAGCGUGGAAGGAGUGGACAGUGACACGGAGCCUUUGAUUGGUGGAGCUGCGAGGCAGGAGUAAACAGACAGAGUUAUGCUCUUUAUUUUAAUGGCAGAACAUCGAGAGCAAUGCUGAACAAGAGCUGCUGUGAGAUCAGGUGAUCUCAGGAGCGUGUACAGAAUUUAAGAAUCGGCUCCUUCCGGUUCAUGAGUGUGAAUUUGAAUUGAAUUGAUCACAGCAUACAGGAUCUCAGAAGUUAUGAACAGUAACAUUAAUAGAACGUUAGUUCAAAGUGAUUUAGUCUUUAAUAACGUUCUCAAAACAUUAGCGCAGAAACAUUAUUCAUACAUCAUUUACUGAAAUGUUUGCCUUGGACAUUCAGCCAACGUUUUUUAAAUGUUGCCGCUUGUUUCAGAACAUUCCGAGAACAUUCAAAAGUAACACUCUUUGCAAAAAUGAUUAAAAUGGAAUGUUACAAAAUGACUUCAAAAGUUUAAAAACUGGGCAUUUGAAAUGUUCAGAAAGAACGUUUUCAUAACUUAAUUGAAACGUUAGCGAAAUGUUGGCUGGGAUGUAGAAUUGACAGGAUUUAAUUAUUUAAUUAAAUUACAAUUCAAAGAAAU
Molecule: long non-coding RNA, 876 nt
Organism: Cyprinus carpio carpio
Lineage: Eukaryota; Metazoa; Chordata; Actinopteri; Cypriniformes; Cyprinidae
Source: Ensembl